CAGUCGCCGCGGUAAUACGAGGGGAGCUAGCGUUGUUCGGAAUUACUGGGCGUAAAGCGCGCGUAGGCGGCUUUUUAAGUCAGAGGUGAAAGCCCGGGGCUCAACCCCGGAAUUGCCUUUGAAACUGGAAAGCUAGAAUCUUGGAGAGGUCAGUGGAAUUCCGAGUGUAGAGGUGAAAUUCGUAGAUAUUCGGAAGAACACCAGUGGCGAAGGCGACUGACUGGACAAGUAUUGACGCUGAGGUGCGAAAGCAUGGGGAGCAAACAGGAUUAGAUACCCCCGUAGUCCCUGUCUCUUAUAC
RNAcentral lists this ribosomal RNA (301 nucleotides) under uncultured bacterium. RNAcentral's name for it is "partial 16S ribosomal RNA". It matches the Rfam family "Bacterial small subunit ribosomal RNA", at positions 509 to 807 of the family's 1533-position model. The record is from RNAcentral.